Molecule: long non-coding RNA, 830 nt
Filed under: Fukomys damarensis (Damara mole-rat)
Lineage: Eukaryota; Metazoa; Chordata; Mammalia; Rodentia; Bathyergidae
Description: lncRNA (ENSFDAG00000030366.1)
Source: RNAcentral
UCGGUGCUCUCCCUCUGACAGAUGUCACACAAAAACUUCUUCUUUUUUUUUUUUUUUUUUUUUUUGAGACAGAGUCGCAUUAAGUAGCCCAGGUGACCUUGAACUGAUGGUGAUCCUCUCACCUCAGCCUCCCAGGUGCCGCGAUUACACAGGUGAACCAAGACUUCUUACGUAUCGCCAAAGCUGGUAGAGUUCCUUUGCCAAAUAUCUUGACUUCUCCUCAAUAACCUUGACCCAGAAGGAGCAGUCAUGUUCUGCAUUGCACCAGAGCUCUGUGUGAAAAAUAUGGCCUAAGAAAUAGACUGGAAUUGAUUCGUGACCAGAAAACACAGCUCCACGAUGGCUGCCAGACAGAGGUCGCGUGAUUAAGAGCGGGCGGGCACUGAGCCGACCCCAGGCCAAGACAGGAAGACUUGUGCACAACGUGUGUGUGGCAUUACACCGAAGGGCUGAGAGCUGGAAGCGGCAACCGACGUCCUGUCAAGGGAGCCUGGUACAUCUGGGCCACGGGCCACAGCUCAGCAAGCACCAGGGGAAGAGCAGCUGCCUGGGGGCGCUCCGGAGGGCGAAGCUGAGCAAAGAGGGCCAUCCCGAGGGGCCUCAUUCUGCAUGAAUAGUAUCUGCUGUCAGAAUCCCAGCCGUGACACAGCACCCUGGUUUCAAGCAGUGCUGCCCUGGGGGAACUGGGAAGGCGGAACAGGGACCAUUCUGAGUGGUUUCUAACCAUGCGUGAAUUAAAGCGAUUGCAGACUCAAACACACUUAAAAUCGUCCCGACAGAAGCAGACAGAGUAGACCAGGCUGCCCAUGGAUGGGAAAAACAUACCAAGC